Microcebus murinus (gray mouse lemur) is the source of this 817-nucleotide non-coding RNA. The record is from RefSeq and is a predicted model, not a curated record. NCBI's taxonomy places the organism in Eukaryota, Metazoa, Chordata, Mammalia, Primates, Cheirogaleidae.
UAGGUAUGCAUGCAUGGGAAAAAAACAUAGUAGAUACAGUCAAUGAGGGAUUCGGUACUAUCAGCGGUUUCAAGCAUCCUCUGGAGGUCUUGGAAGAAUUUGAAAAGGUCCUCCCACUUGGCUGUUUGAGAUCUUGUUAAAGUUAUUGCCCUGAACCAGCUGACAAGAGAGGAACAAAUUUAGUGAGAGACAGAGAGAGAUUUGCUAUUAAGUCAAAAUACAGAGUACUGUAGAGGAAAAUCUUCCUUGGGAGACAACAUACUCUUCAAAAGAAAACCACCAAUGAUUAAUAAUUUUUACCGAAUGAAAGCUACAGACUUCUUAUUAUACGGUGGACUACAGGGAGUGAUAUAAUUCUUGGAUGUCAUGUGAAAUGCGAAGCCAUUUUUUCUGGAACUGAUGUUCCCAGUUCUCUACUAAGCACAGUAGCUACCUUUUCUGCACUGGAGGAUCAUCCAGCAGGAAUAACCUUAUCAAUUACUGUAAGUCAGCAUCUUUCCCCCAGAGUUUGAGCAAGCUGUUCUCUACAAUUUGUACCGGUGGCCCAGGACUAAAUCCCGAAUCCAUUUCCAAGCCUAAGCAUGUCACAUGCUGUAGCAGUGAAAGACAUGGUGCUGCAGUAAGCAAAGACGCAGGCUCUGCAAGGAGAGCUUUGCUGGCUGCCCAGAAACCCCACACGAUGGAGAAAGGCCAAGACACAAAGAAUGAAAAUGAGCAGAGAAGGGAAAAAUAGCUCCUACUCUCUUGGGCCCAAGAUGUUUUACCCUGGAAAGAUUAAGUGACAGAUUUUGCCAGCAUUUAUUUCACUUCUAUUUAU